GAAGGUGCAGAUAGCGGGUGGGGAAAACCUCCUCUGUGAAAGGAUGAUGUCAGUCUCUGCAGCUGAGCCCGGUCCCCAAUUCGAUGGGGUGAGUACAACCUCUCAGCCUGACAAACCAAGGAGAAGAGCAAGAAAGAGAAGAAGAUGAGGGAGGGUCUGCAGAAUGAAUGAAGAGCUGCAGCUCCCCUCACAUUCCCAGCAGAGGCGACCUGCGCGACCCUCGGCCCGAGUGUCAUUACCGCUGACCAGUGGCUCGUCUCUUGCGGCCCCCCAAUCCGCGGCCUCCCUGAGAGGCGACCAGGAGCACAUGGCUGUCCAGAGGAUGUGGGAGAUUCACUGCACGCUGUGUACAUCAAAUUAAGAGGUUUCAUCAUUUUUCGAGAUCGUCCGACUUCUGUCUCCACAUGCAAGCCAGUGUGUACUAUGGCUUUUUAUUCCUAUGUGAUGAUGACAAAUGCUCAUGUAGGAAUAGAAGCCACGUUACACAUGGUGUGAGGACAACAUGACGUGUGGCGGCUUGAUCACCGGGGCCAGUAAAGAUGCAAUUGUGACUGUCGUCUGGAGUUGUGUGCAAUAACAUGAAGUGUGUCAUUGAUGGCUGUGCAUCUAUUUUUGGCCCGCGGCACCAGUGCUGCUUUGUGUUUGACGCACGGCGUGACAGCAGAUCUGCAGGGACGACAAAGUGUACAAGGGAAGAAAAAGAGCCAGGAGGGAUCGAUACAGAUCUUUAAUAACAACUAUAAAAUAGGCACUUGGUGAUCCACUUUACAGCUUGCACGAGGCAACCGACUGCACAGAUGCACUUCCCUUUCUUGUCAUUCUUUUGCACAUUAUCAAAAUAAAACUUUGACAUGAAGCAUUACACAGA
Molecule: long non-coding RNA, 868 nt
Organism: Syngnathus acus (greater pipefish)
Lineage: Eukaryota; Metazoa; Chordata; Actinopteri; Syngnathiformes; Syngnathidae
Exons: 4
Source: RefSeq, a predicted model, not a curated record